RNAcentral lists this ribosomal RNA (372 nucleotides) under uncultured organism. RNAcentral's name for it is "bacterial SSU rRNA". It matches the Rfam family "Bacterial small subunit ribosomal RNA", at positions 526 to 896 of the family's 1533-position model. The record is from RNAcentral.
CGUAGGGUGCGAGCGUUAAUCGGAAUUACUGGGCGUAAAGCGUGCGCAGGCGGUUUUGUAAGACAGGCGUGAAAUCCCCGGGCUCAACCUGGGAACUGCGCUUGUGACUGCAAGGCUAGAAUACGGCAGAGGGGGGUGGAAUUCCACGUGUAGCAGUGAAAUGCGUAGAGAUGUGGAGGAACACCAAUGGCGAAGGCAGCCCCCUGGGUCGAUACUGACGCUCAUGCACGAAAGCGUGGGUAGCAAACAGGAUUAGAUACCCUGGUAGUCCACGCCCUAAACGAUGUCAACUAGGUGUUGGGUGGGUAAAACCAUUUAGUACCGGAGCUAACGCGUGAAGUUGACCGCCUGGGGAGUACGGCCGCAAGGUUA